This 406-nucleotide ribosomal RNA is filed under the name uncultured bacterium. Its description in RNAcentral is "partial 16S ribosomal RNA". It matches the Rfam family "Bacterial small subunit ribosomal RNA", at positions 30 to 526 of the family's 1533-position model. The record is from RNAcentral.
AUUGAACGCUGGCGGCAGGCUUAACACAUGCAAGUCGAGCGAGUGGCGGACGGGCGAGUAAUGUCUGGGACACUGCCUGAUGGCGGGGGAUAACUACUGGAAACGGUAGCUAAUACCGCAUACCUUCCGAUGUGCCCAGGUGGGAUUAGCCAGUAGGUGGGGUAAUGGCUCACGUAGUCGACGAUCCCCAGCUGGUCUGAGAGGAUGACCGGCCACACUGGAACUGAGACACGGUCCAGACGCCUACGGGAGGCAGCAGUGGGGAAUAUUGCGCAAUGGGCGCAAGCCUGAUGGAGCCAUGCCGCGUGUGUGAAGAAGGCCUUCGGGUUGUAAAGCACUUUCAGCGAGGAGGCGUUACUCGCAGAAGAAGCACCGGCUAACUCCGUGCCAGCAGCCGCGGUAAUAC